Molecule: non-coding RNA, 73 nt
Organism: Brugia malayi
Lineage: Eukaryota; Metazoa; Nematoda; Chromadorea; Rhabditida; Onchocercidae
Source: Rfam
GCCUUCUUAGCUCAGUCGGUAGAGCAUCAGACUUUUAAUCUGAGGGUCGCGGGUUCGAGUCCCGCAGAGGGCU